This is a long non-coding RNA of Galleria mellonella (greater wax moth), 1340 nucleotides long. RefSeq lists it as uncharacterized. NCBI's taxonomy places the organism in Eukaryota, Metazoa, Arthropoda, Insecta, Lepidoptera, Pyralidae. The transcript has 7 exons. The record is from RefSeq and is a predicted model, not a curated record.
CCAUAAAACAAUAAUACCGCGAAUUUAUCAAAUUAAAAUGUUAGAAUAGGAAAUCAAUUAGAGAAAUGGCGCUUCAGAAUCGAUCUGUCUUUUUUAAUCUGUAGGUACUCGUAAUUUAAAAUUCUAACGUUGAGUAUGAAAUUAAAAUAUAAAUAAAUUUAUUCAUUUUUUUUAUACCAAAAAUUAGAACAAUGAGUCUUUAUAUAUAUUAUGAUUACUAUCCUUGUUAUUUUUAAAUACAUAUUUGUUUUUAACAUAAUUAAUCUACCUCGCAAUUGGUGGGCAAGUGUCUUCCAAAAAGACUACAAUAACAGAUAUACAUAUGGAAAAAUAAAAAAAAAAGGAAAAGAAUGUGGCAACAUGUUUCAGCGGCCCCCAAUUUGAUCUGGACGAACCAUAGUGUAUGCAGUGAAAUGCUACAUGCACUGCAUGAUUCUUAACGCCAACCAUAACUGUUGAUUGACUAUCGGUCCAUGUGUUGCAAGCACUGAUUACAAUUUGUGCUGCAACCUGAAGCAAGGCUACACGGACGCGUGCAUCAAACCCAGAGUGUAACCUGUGUAACCAAUUUAAUAGCAAAAGGAUUCGGAAGGUUGUUAUCUGUUGAGAAGAGUACGCAAGAAACUCAAGUUACUCUUUUAAAUCGCUGUCAACAUGUAUAGAAUUAGCUGGAAUACUUUACCUCUAAACUGGGGCGAGGCUAGUAACAGAUAUUAAAACUCUGGAUAAUAAUUCUAAAUUAGAGCCAUCUAGUGAAUAAAAGGAGCACUAUGAACAAUAUGAAUCCAAUGGCGGAAUUGUCUAUAGUUUCCUUCGUAUUCACGAUUAACGAGCACAAUACAUUUAUUUAUAGUAAAUGUACUAAUUGAAAUAAACAAGGAAACCAGUAGAUACAUAUCCAGUAUAUUUGUUUGCUGUAAUGCCUAGUAUCUAAUACAGAAGAAUUAACAUCCAAUAUUAUACAAGAGUGGUGACCAAGAAUUGGCCGGAGGAACGUUGGGAGACAACCCAUGCGAUGGACACGUGAUAUAAAUAGAACGGUAGGCAAGACCUGGACGCGCAUGACGAAGUAUCGGGUCAUUCGGCGGGAUCAUGAUACCAAACAAUGGGCGAACCCGGGUUGAAAUAGAUAGAUCAUGGCCGUAGCUAGAUGGGGGUGGGAGCUUUUAGGGGCAAUGCCCUACCUACCUUAAAAUUAACCCCUCAGAAAUUUUACACCUUUUUGAAGUCACUUAAUUAUGGCUUCUGCCCUACCAAAAAGUUCUUUAGCCCUACCUUAAACUUGAGUCUAGCUACGGCCCUGAGAUAGAUAGUAUAUCUAAUAUAGACAAAUUAAAAAG